UGCCUGGCGGCCAUAGCGCCGUGGAACCACCUGAUCCCAUGCCGAACUCAGAAGUGAAACGCGGUAGCGCCGAUGGUAGUGUGGCAUUCGCCAUGCGAGAGUAGGACACUGCCAGGC
RNAcentral lists this ribosomal RNA (117 nucleotides) under Aeromonas salmonicida subsp. salmonicida A449. Lineage: Bacteria; Pseudomonadati; Pseudomonadota; Gammaproteobacteria; Aeromonadales; Aeromonadaceae. The record is from RNAcentral. RNAcentral also lists the same sequence under 1 other name.